RNAcentral lists this ribosomal RNA (439 nucleotides) under uncultured bacterium. Its description in RNAcentral is "partial 16S ribosomal RNA". It matches the Rfam family "Bacterial small subunit ribosomal RNA", at positions 339 to 795 of the family's 1533-position model. The record is from RNAcentral.
CUACGGGUGGCUCCAGUGGGGAAUUUUGCGCAAUGGGGGAAACCCUGACGCAGCAAUACCGCGUGAGUGAAGAAGGCCUUUGGGUCGUAAAGCUCUUUUCUUGGGGAAGAUAGUGACGGUACCCAAGGAAUAAGCACCGGCUAACUCCGUGCCAGCAGCCGCGGUAAUACAGAGGGUGCAAGCGUUGUUCGGAUUUACUGGGCGUAAAGGGCACGUAGGCGGCACAGCAAGUUAAGGGUGAAAUCCCGGGGCUCAACUCCGGAACUGCUCUUAAAACUGCUGAGCUAGAGAUAGUCAGAGGCGGGUGGAAUUCCAGGUGUAGAGGUGAAAUUCGUAGAUAUCUGGAGGAACACCGGUGGCGAAGGCGGCCCGCUGGGGCUAUUCUGACGCUAAGGUGCGAAAGCGUGGGGAGCAAACGGGAUUAGAUACCCCCGUAGUC